CCCUUAGAUGUUCUGGCCGCACGCGCGCUACACUGACGAAUGCAACGAGCUUAUAACCUUGGCCGAAAGGUCUGGGUAAUCUCCAAAUUUCGUCGUGAUGGGGAUAGAUUAUUGCAAUUAUUAAUCUUCAACGAGGAAUGCCUAGUAAGCGCAAGUCAUCAGCUUGCGUUGAUUACGUCCCUGCCCUUUGUACACACCGCCCGUCGCUCCUACCGAUUGAAUGGUCCGGUGAAGCGUUCGGACCGUGGCCUUUGGACGGUUCGCCGUCUGUUGGCUGCGGGAAGUUCGUUAAACCUUAUCAUUUAGAGGAAGGAGAAGUCGUAACA
Molecule: ribosomal RNA, 326 nt
Filed under: uncultured eukaryote
Lineage: Eukaryota
Description: partial 18S ribosomal RNA
Rfam family: Eukaryotic small subunit ribosomal RNA
Source: RNAcentral